AACGCGAAGAACCUUACCUGGCCUUGACAUGUUAGGAAUCCUGCAGAAAAGAGGGAGUGCCCUAAGGGAACCGAACACAGGUGCUGCAUGGCGGUCGUCAGCUCGUGUCUUGAGAUGUUGGGUUAAGUCCCCCAACGAGCGCAACCCCUUUCUUUUGUUCCCACCGGGUAAGGCCGGGCACUUUAAGGAGACUGCCGGUGAAAAACCGGAGGAAGGUGGGGAUGACGUCAAGUCAUCAUGGCCCUUAUGCCCAGGGCUACACACGUGUUACAAUGGCCGGUACAAAGGGUUGCAAACCCGCGAGGGGAAGCAAAUCCCAAAAACCCGUUCUCAGUCCGGAUUGCAGUCUGCAACUGGACUCCAUGAAGUGGGAAUCGCUAGUAUCGCGAUCAGCA
This 395-nucleotide ribosomal RNA is filed under the name uncultured bacterium. RNAcentral describes it as "bacterial SSU rRNA". It matches the Rfam family "Bacterial small subunit ribosomal RNA", at positions 958 to 1354 of the family's 1533-position model. The record is from RNAcentral.